GGUCUCUACAGAACCGUGCUUUACUGAAGUAAAACCUUUUCUUGGCAGAUCAAUUUCAUUUCUCAAAUAUGGGAGAGUUAGCGGCGGAGAAGCAUGCCAAUUACAUUGUAUCAGUGGAAAAG
This is a long non-coding RNA of Humulus lupulus (European hop), 122 nucleotides long. RefSeq lists it as uncharacterized. Lineage: Eukaryota; Viridiplantae; Streptophyta; Magnoliopsida; Rosales; Cannabaceae. The transcript has 2 exons. The record is from RefSeq and is a predicted model, not a curated record.